GCUGCCGUAGCUCAGUGGUAGAGCGCACCCUUGGUAAGGGUGAGGUCGAGAGUUCAAUCCUCUCCGGCAGCA
Molecule: transfer RNA, 72 nt
Filed under: Pacificimonas flava
Lineage: Bacteria; Pseudomonadati; Pseudomonadota; Alphaproteobacteria; Sphingomonadales; Sphingosinicellaceae
Rfam family: tRNA
About the family: Transfer RNA (tRNA) molecules are approximately 80 nucleotides in length.
Source: Rfam by way of RNAcentral